UACGUAGGGUGCAAGCGUUAAUCGGAAUUACUGGGCGUAAAGCGUGCGCAGGCGGUGAUGUAAGACAGAUGUGAAAUCCCCGGGCUCAACCUGGGAACUGCAUUUGUGACCGCAUCGCUGGAGUACGGCAGAGGGGGAUGGAAUUCCGCGUGUAGCAGUGAAAUGCGUAGAUAUUGGUAGGAACACCAGUGGCGAAGGCGGUCUUCUGGAGCACUCUUGACGCUGAGGCGCGAAAGCUGGGGGAGCGAACGGG
RNAcentral lists this ribosomal RNA (253 nucleotides) under uncultured bacterium. RNAcentral's name for it is "partial 16S ribosomal RNA". It matches the Rfam family "Bacterial small subunit ribosomal RNA", at positions 524 to 776 of the family's 1533-position model. The record is from RNAcentral.